RNAcentral lists this ribosomal RNA (451 nucleotides) under uncultured bacterium. RNAcentral describes it as "partial 16S ribosomal RNA". It matches the Rfam family "Bacterial small subunit ribosomal RNA", at positions 29 to 523 of the family's 1533-position model. The record is from RNAcentral.
AACGAACGUUGGCGGCGGGCUUAACACAUGCAAGUCGAACGGGUGCAGCAAUGCAUCAGUGGCAGACGGGUGAGUAACACGUGGGAACCUUCCUAGGGGUACGGAACAACUCAGGGAAACUUGAGCUAAUACCGUAUACGUCCGUGAGGAGAAAGAUUUAUCGCCCUUAGACGGGCCCGCGUCGGAUUAGCUAGUUGGUGGGGUAACGGCCUACCAAGGCGACGAUCCGUAGCUGAUCUUAGAGGAUGAUCAGCCACACUGGGACUGAGACACGGCCCAGACUCCUACGGGAGGCAGCAGUGGGGAAUCUUGGACAAUGGGCGCAAGCCUGAUCCAGCCAUGCCGCGUGAGUGAAGAAGGUCUUCGGAUUGUAAAGCUCUUUUGCCAGGGACGAUAAUGGCGGUACCUGGAGAAUAAGCCCCGGCAAACUUCGUGCCAGCAGCCGCUGUAA